Molecule: transfer RNA, 73 nt
Filed under: Bos taurus (domestic cattle)
Lineage: Eukaryota; Metazoa; Chordata; Mammalia; Artiodactyla; Bovidae
Also listed under: 1 other name
Rfam family: tRNA
About the family: Transfer RNA (tRNA) molecules are approximately 80 nucleotides in length. Their secondary structure includes four short double-helical elements and three loops (D, anti-codon, and T loops).
Source: Rfam by way of RNAcentral
UCCCUGGCGGUCCAGUGGUUAGGACUCUGUACUUUCAUUGCUAGAGGCCCAGGUUCAAUCCCUGAUUGGGGAA